This 77-nucleotide microRNA precursor is filed under the name Anopheles sinensis. Its description in RNAcentral is "mir-87 microRNA precursor family". It matches the Rfam family "mir-87 microRNA precursor family". Lineage: Eukaryota; Metazoa; Arthropoda; Insecta; Diptera; Culicidae. The record is from Rfam by way of RNAcentral.
UCCCGGCCCAGCCUGAAAUUUGCUAAACCUGGUCCAUUACGCAAGCAAGGUGAGCAAAUAUUCAGGUGUGUCGAAGA